UUAGGUGGUUAUAGUGUGAGGGUUCCACCUCUUCCCAUUCCGAACAGAGAAGUUAAGCCUCACUUACGCCGAUGGUACUGCCCGCAAAGUGGGAGAGUAGGUCGCCGCCGAUU
RNAcentral lists this ribosomal RNA (113 nucleotides) under Parabacteroides sp. OttesenSCG-928-G21. The record is from RNAcentral. Lineage: Bacteria; Pseudomonadati; Bacteroidota; Bacteroidia; Bacteroidales; Tannerellaceae.